CUGUGUUUCAAGUGAUCUCAAGCUGCUCCGUGACACAAGAAAAUUUCUCAUAGCACCAGUAUUCUCUCAGUGCCACUAUACAGUUGUUAAUCAUGGGAUGCCAAGAUCUCUAAAGCACUGAAAUUACAGGGUACAUGGAGAACGAUCACUGGAGGAAAGAGUAAGCUGAUUGGAACAGACAUUAAAACACUUGAUCCAAAGGCUCUCUGACUACAUGAAACACGACAGUUUCCCGUUCAGUAUUGGAGAGGGUCAUCUGUCCUGACGAAGUGAUGACUUUUAACGAUGGCUUUGGAAAAUCCUUUUAAAAUGUCUCCAGGUCAAUCUCUCCAAUGCUGCAAAUGGUCAGUUCCUGGUUUUUUUCCCA
RNAcentral lists this long non-coding RNA (367 nucleotides) under Monodelphis domestica (gray short-tailed opossum). RNAcentral describes it as "lncRNA (ENSMODG00000046538.1)". The record is from RNAcentral. Lineage: Eukaryota; Metazoa; Chordata; Mammalia; Didelphimorphia; Didelphidae.